Small nuclear RNA from Syngnathoides biaculeatus (alligator pipefish), 191 nucleotides. RefSeq annotates it as U2 spliceosomal RNA. The transcript has a single exon. Lineage: Eukaryota; Metazoa; Chordata; Actinopteri; Syngnathiformes; Syngnathidae. The record is from RefSeq and is a predicted model, not a curated record.
AUCGCUUCUCGGCCUUUUGGCUAAGAUCAAGUGUAGUAUCUGUUCUCAUCAGUUUAAUAUCUGAUACGUCUCCUAUCUGGGUACCACAUAUUAAAUAGAUUUUUGGAACAGCAAGAUGGAAUAGGGGGUUUCUUCAUCCACUGCAAGCAGCGACCUGGUAUUGCAGUACGUCCAGGAAUGAUGCAACCCCU